RNAcentral lists this vault RNA (75 nucleotides) under Oncorhynchus mykiss (rainbow trout). RNAcentral describes it as "Vault RNA (ENSOMYG00000003558.2)". It matches the Rfam family "Vault RNA". From Rfam's summary of the family: This family of RNAs are found as part of the enigmatic vault ribonucleoprotein complex. The complex consists of a major vault protein (MVP), two minor vault proteins (VPARP and TEP1), and several small untranslated RNA molecules. The record is from Rfam by way of RNAcentral. Lineage: Eukaryota; Metazoa; Chordata; Actinopteri; Salmoniformes; Salmonidae.
GCGCGGGUUUAGCUCAGUGGUUAUGACAAAGCCUAGACAAGCCUAGACGAACCACGGGCGCUGUCCAGCGUAUGC